Molecule: ribosomal RNA, 501 nt
Filed under: uncultured bacterium
Lineage: Bacteria
Description: partial 16S ribosomal RNA
Rfam family: Bacterial small subunit ribosomal RNA
Source: RNAcentral
AUUGAACGCUGGCGGCAGGCUUAACACAUGCAAGUCGAGCGGGGGAAGGUAGCUUGCUACCGGACCUAGCGGCGGACGGGUGAGUAAUGCUUAGGAAUCUGCCUAUUAGUGGGGGACAACAUCUCGAAAGGGAUGCUAAUACCGCAUACGUCCUACGGGAGAAAGCAGGGGAUCUUCGGACCUUGCGCUAAUAGAUGAGCCUAAGUCGGAUUAGCUAGUUGGUGGGGUAAAGGCCUACCAAGGCGACGAUCUGUAGCGGGUCUGAGAGGAUGGUCCGCCACACUGGGAAUGAGACAAGGCCCAGACUCCUACGGGAGGCAGCAGUGGGGAAGAUUGGACAAUGGGGGGAACCCUGAUCCAGCCAUGCCGCGUGUGUGAAGAAGGCCUUAUGGUUGUAAAGCACUUUAAGCGAGGAGGAGGCUACUCUAGUUAAUACCUAGGGAUAGUGGACGUUACUCGCAGAAUAAGCACCGGCUAACUCUGUGCCAGCCGCCGCCGUAA